Molecule: long non-coding RNA, 1185 nt
Filed under: Eutrema salsugineum
Lineage: Eukaryota; Viridiplantae; Streptophyta; Magnoliopsida; Brassicales; Brassicaceae
Description: long non-coding RNA (ESAL_LNC000576)
Source: RNAcentral
CGUCGGAUGAAGAGACUUACCGGAGUCAAAAGCAAGGAGCUCAUGAUCUGGGUUCCUGUGAAUGAUAUCUUCAUCAAAGAGAAAGAUCCUGAGAAGAUCACCUUUGCUAAUAGCACUGGCCUGUCACGAACAUUCAAAGUUUCAGCCUUUCAGUGUGGGGAUUAAGACAACGGAGGAAAAGAGGAGAAACUGAACUUCCUCGAUGUAAGCGAAGCAACCAAUAAAAAACACAAGUUAAGUUUAAUUAAAUAUCACAAAGACGAGCCUUUUCACAUUGGAUUGCUUAUGUAUCAUAACAGUAAAUGAACAAGUUUUAAAAUUCAUGCCUUGAAGCACAACACUGAAUUUCCAUUCAACAUAUCGAAUCAAUUCAUUCGCUAAACAUAGCAGAAGAUGUAUGCUAUGUUCUCUAUCAAAUUGUCAUGAGCCUCUUCAGUAUUUAUGUUCAUGAUCUGUAAAACUAUAAGCCAAUACAUGGUUUCAUAUAGAUGGGAAAAGACACAAAUGAACCUAAACAAUCAGAUUAUUGAAAAGAAAUAACAUAAAUGAUUGACUAUAUAUCUGAACUAAAAACAAUGAGAUGCAAUGAUUAAGAAAGAAAUAUUGCGCUUAGAUUGGGAAAUGAUGCAAAUUUACAUAUAUAUAUAUUUAUAUAUAUAUAUAUAUAUAUUUCUCAAGAAAAAGAUUUCAAACCAUCCCAUAAUUUUAGCUAAAGGAAAGAGUUUAAAAUCUGCUUAAGAAAAUCUAUCCACUAGAUUAACAAGACAUAAUGCAUAAAGACAUUUGCUUUAGUUUUUUUUACAUAAUCAACACUAGAAAAUACUCACAUCUGAGAAAGUAAAUUUUAAGAGAGACAAUGUAUAGAGUUCUUGAAGAUCGGAGAUCAGAAUGGUGAGCAGCAGUUUCAUCCUCUACACAAGUUAUCAUGUCCCACUGUUUUGCUGGGUAAGAGAAACCAGAAAUUUCAAAAUCAGGGUCUCUUGCAAAGAGAAACAAAAAGGAUCGCAAGGAAAGUGUCAGCCAACCAAAGAUUCUCAGUCUGUCCUCAAAUAAUCAAGAUCCUUGUAUCCAAACCACCAAAUUUAAAAGACGUAAUGAUAAAUAAUUUUGAUGAUGAGUCUAACUUUUCCAACCCAUGAUAUGCUUCUUUUUCAUCCAAGAGUCUAAAGAAAAAGUCGAUUUGUC